Molecule: ribosomal RNA, 253 nt
Filed under: uncultured bacterium
Lineage: Bacteria
Description: partial 16S ribosomal RNA
Rfam family: Bacterial small subunit ribosomal RNA
Source: RNAcentral
UACGGAGGGAGCGAGCGUUGUUCGGAAUCAUUGGGCGUAAAGCGCGCGCAGGCGGUUGGGUAAGUCAGACGUGAAAGCCCUUGGCUCAACCAAGGAACUGCGUUUGAAACUGCCCGGCUAGAGUUUGGGAGAGGGUGGCGGAAUUCCCAGUGUAGAGGUGAAAUUCGUAGAUAUUGGGAGGAACACCUGUGGCGAAGGCGGCUACCUGGACCAAAACUGACGCUGAGGCGCGAAAGCCGGGGGAGCAAACGGG